This 67-nucleotide transfer RNA is filed under the name Clovia sp. EMHAU-2015-Zz052918. RNAcentral's name for it is "tRNA-Asp". Lineage: Eukaryota; Metazoa; Arthropoda; Insecta; Hemiptera; Aphrophoridae. The record is from RNAcentral.
UAAAAAUUAGUUUAGUAAAAAUUCUAGUUUGUCAAAUUAGAGAUUUCAUAUGAAUUGAAAUUUUUAU